RNAcentral lists this ribosomal RNA (252 nucleotides) under uncultured bacterium. RNAcentral describes it as "partial 16S ribosomal RNA". It matches the Rfam family "Bacterial small subunit ribosomal RNA", at positions 524 to 776 of the family's 1533-position model. The record is from RNAcentral.
UACGUAUGGUGCAAGCGUUAUCCGGAUUUAUUGGGUUUAAAGGGUGCGUAGGCGGAUCGUUAAGUCAGUGGUCAAAUUGAGGGGCUCAACCCCUUCCCGCCAUUGAAACUGGCGAUCUUGAGUGGAAGAGAAGUAUGCGGAAUGCGUGGUGUAGCGGUGAAAUGCAUAGAUAUCACGCAGAACCCCGAUUGCGAAGGCAGCAUGCCGGCUUCCUACUGACGCUGAAGCACGAAAGCGUGGGGAGCAAACAGG